CCAAGCAAAACGCACUUAAAGUUUGACCCCCCGAAACUAGGCGAGCUACUUUAGAACAGCCUUUUAGGGCCAACCCGUCUCUGUAGCAAAAGAGUGGGAAGAUUUUAAAGUAGAGGUGACACACCUAUCGAGCUUAGAGAUAGCUGGUUAUUCAGGAAAAGGAUUUUAGUCCCCCUUUAAGUUUCUUUAUUCACACUAAAAACCUAAUGAACUUAAAAGCCAUUCAAAUAGGGUACAGCCUAUUUGAACAAGGAAACAGCCUGCAAUACAGGGUAAUGAUCUAUUCCACGUGACUAAGUAGGCCUAAGAGCAGCCAACUUCCAAACAGCGUCCAAGCUUUAUCACUAACUAUUAUUAAUCCCAUUAUUUAUACGCAACCCACAACCGCUACUGAAUGAUCCCAUACCCAUAUGGGAGACAUUAUGCUAGAACUAGUAACAAGAAGAAGACCUUCUCCAAAAUGUAAGUGCAAGCCAAAAAUGAACAACUCAUCGGCACCUAUCGCCUCAAAUCUGCAGUACCACCACAAACCCCCAAGAAAACCAUACUACACCUGGCGUUAACCUUACACCAGAACAUUACCGGAAAGAUUAAAAAGGGGG
Molecule: ribosomal RNA, 602 nt
Filed under: Plethodontohyla inguinalis (Boulenger's digging frog)
Lineage: Eukaryota; Metazoa; Chordata; Amphibia; Anura; Microhylidae
Description: partial 16S ribosomal RNA
Rfam family: Bacterial large subunit ribosomal RNA (bases 1-429)
Source: RNAcentral